AACGUAGGAGACAAACGUUAUCCGGAGUUACUGGGCGUAAAGGGCGUGUAGGCGGUUAGUUAAGUCUGGCGUGAAAGCUCUCGGCUAAACCGGGAGAGGUCGUUGGAUACUGGCUGACUAGAGGACGGUAGAGGCGUGUGGAAUUCCGGGUGUAGGGGUGAAAUGCGUAGAGAUCCGGAGGAACACCAGUGGCGAAGGCGACACGCUGGGCCGUACCUGACGCUAAAGCGCGACAGCAUGGGGAGCAAACGGG
Molecule: ribosomal RNA, 253 nt
Filed under: uncultured bacterium
Lineage: Bacteria
Description: partial 16S ribosomal RNA
Rfam family: Bacterial small subunit ribosomal RNA
Source: RNAcentral